UGCCGGAUAGCUCACUCGGUUAAAGCAUCGCACUGUGACUGUCACGGCACGGGUUCGAGCCCCGGUCAUACCA
This is a non-coding RNA of Gymnothorax javanicus (giant moray), 73 nucleotides long. The record is from the annotation of a GenBank genome assembly. NCBI's taxonomy places the organism in Eukaryota, Metazoa, Chordata, Actinopteri, Anguilliformes, Muraenidae.